AUGCAGGGAAGAGGAGAAGAGGAGCAGAGACGGGAAGGGGAUGGCGGCAGCGCGAGCAGUCGAUUCCCCCUACUGGCUGCACAUGGAGCUACCACCUGGAACACACUGUGCCCUCAACACUUUCUCUGAACAAACUACACUGAUUUAACUUCAAAACCAGGAAAGGUGGAUGAACCAAUUUCAGUGUGCAGCUUUUUAGAAUAUGCGGUGAUGGGGGUGUUCUUGUCUGAAUCUGUGGAACUGACGUCAUAGAGCGGUGAUACGCAGCCAGCUUUUUAAUGGAAAGAGAGAAAGAGAUAUUCAAAAACCAGCACUGAGAAAUACUACUAUCUCUGCAGCCAGGUUUGUCAAACAUUUUCAUAAAACAGAGCCAGAGCCAUCUGCUGCUCUUCUGUUCUGAGGUCCUCUUCUGAUGCUCGUUGAUUCACUUUCUAAAUUGAGAACAUGAGUGAGUCAUCAACAGGACUUUAAAAUAGAAGAAGAGGAAGACAGCUGAGGGUGUAUCAUGCCCCUGAAGGUGUUAAGUACUUGAAAUUCCCCUCUAAAGAAUGAAAGCAAGUCUAGUAAUACAAAACUUCAGCGUGAUCACAGCAUGGCCUCCGGUAAGAGCCAGAGAAGUUCAAGAGACAGUGUUAGGGUUUUUUUUUUUUAAUUUAGCCUUAAUUCAACCAGGUCAGUGGAAUUCUCACUUGGCAAGUUAGCUCAGCAGCACAGUAAAAGCAAUUUUUUCGUAAGAUAUUUCAAUUAUAUCAAUGUCCACAGUGAUAUUAGUGUCCUGAGGAGGCACUGAAAGGGCUGCCCUUUUAUUGACUAGCUGCCCUGACAACACCAGUGAUUCUGCUAAAUGUCUUAAAUCUCUAUUUACAAGGAAGAUGGAAAAAAGCAAAAACAAAACACAAAAAACUGAAAGAGAACUAUAAGUUGCCCUCUAAAGACAAAAACACUAAAGAGUUACACAAUGUUCCCCUCAAAAUUGAAUUCCUAGAAAGUCCACAACCAUCUCGCCCCACUGCCCGACCCCUCCCCAAGGGCAACUACAGUACUUCUCCGAGCUGCUGCAGAGACCAAGAGGCUUUGUUUCCUGUGGUUUGUUGGACAGUAAUGACGUGGGUGUUUCCCAGAAAUGACCAGAUGUGUGGAAUUCGAGGGAAGGCUGGCGCAGCGCCAGGGGAGGGGUGGUGGGAAAGGAGGGCUGGAAGAACAGAGGAAGGGAGGGAAGGAGGGAAGUGGAGUUGGGGAACAGCAGGGCCUUUUGCUUUUGGCAGUGGUUCUACUGGGAGAUACCCAAGCACCAAAAGAUCAUCUUACAUGUUUAAUGCAGACCUAGUGAUGUAGCCCUACUAACCAGCUUCCCUGGGGCUUUUUGUUCAUGAUAAAGUGAAAGAUGAACUUACCAGUCAAACUAUGACAUGGUUGAUGUGCAUAUGUUGUUUGAACACAGACACAACCAUUUAUCAAAGCUCUUGGAUUGUGCCCGGGUUCUUACAGCAGAGAUCAUCUGAAUAUAGUUUACAAUAAUCCUAGAAAACAUGACUGAAUGUUGAUGAAUCCAAUCAGGAACAGUGACAGAUGCUGCUUGCCUACAAGUUUUCUUCAUACCACAGAAGAGGAUCACCUGGUACUUGGUGUAGAUGACGAAAUUUGUAUAAAUCUGUAGCAUUUAUACAAACUGCUAUAAAAAGAUUUUUUUCAUUAAAGCAGAAUCUUUUUUUAGUUAAAUAUAAAGGCAUGCUGAGACAGACUGAUGCCAAAUUCAUGAUCAACAGUAAAAAAGAGAGAUAAUUUAAUAACUGCAAAUAUGUCAGUUUAUGAGGUCUACAAGAAAACCACAGAUUUUGGCAGUUUUACUAGAAUUGAAAGGAAAAGCAGCACAAACCACAGAAAGAAAGAGGGUGGAUAACCUCUGAUGUGGCUCUAGAGUACAGAAUGAGCUUCAAUUUGUCUUCAUAGUGUUUCAUGAAUUUCGUUCCCAUGUUGUGAUAACUAAUUCGAUUAUGUGUUUAACAACAUCUGAAAUCCAUCAGCUUGUUAAAUCAUCUGAUUUUCAAACAGUCAAAAUUAUAAUACAUGUGCAAAAAAAGGCAGUCUUGAUUUUAAAUGAUAGAGUUGGUCUCCAAUCAGACAAAUGAGCUGAAAGUAAAGUUUUAUUAUUGUGUUUGUACACUGUCGAGCUCAAGCCAAAUUGCCCAGUAAUGUAAGUGGCAUCCUUUCAAGCCUUCCUCCUCAAACACUGUGAUCUGAGAAGCUGACCAGACUUACUGAAGUACAGGAAGCACACACACAAAACAGGCACAUGCUAAAACGCCCACCUCCCCGUGAGGAGGUAUCUUAAUAUUAUGUGCGUAAGUUCAGUGCAUCUCUGACACAUACAGUUCCCUGAUACAUUCUUAUCAGUGCAUUAACGGAUGACAGCCUGAGGUAAUUCAACACAUCUCCCUCUGAGAGUAUAAUUUUACACAGCGCAAAGAGCAGAGUGAUAUAGUCAAGAUAUCAUUGCAGGGUACUUCUCUUUAUUUUUAUUUCUUUCUAUAUGAUAGUCACAUAUCUUGGUUUAGGCUGUUUAUCUAAUACUACCAUAAUAAUGUGAAGAGGGCAGACUGACUCCGGACCACCAGCCCCGCACUGAGACAUUUGAUAAACACCAGGCAGAUCUCCAGUGAGUCAUUAGCUUCUAUCACAACACAGAGGAGAGCAACGCAGGCCUAAUGGGGAGGAAAUAUGAGACCAGGCGUGCAUGAGUAAAAAUGACGCACAGCACCCCUCACUACACCCAACAAGGGACUGGCAAUAGACCUAAAAGAGUUAAUUGCAUACACUUACUAUAUCUCUACUCCAAAUGUGAAAUGUACAAACAGCCGUCCAACUCGUUUCCUGAUUAACGUGAUUCCGAGAAAAGAUCGAAGUUGUUGUAAAUGAUUUUGUACUGGGGCGCACAGGGAGGGCACAUCUGUGUGUAUUUGAGUGUGAGAUUAAGCAUUUUGCCUAUAUACAUGCACAAAUGCGUGUAUCUGCAUCUGUGUAUUUUGGUCAAGAAACUACAUUUAAAGUCACGUGGACUACAGCUGUGACAGUUCUGUGUGCAUGCUAGCAUGAGCACCAGUGAGUGUACUGUAUGUGUGUGUGUGUGUGUGUGUGUGUGUGUGUGUGUGCGUGUUUUUUCUCUGCAACAGAAAGCCAGCCAUGUCCUUUUGUGAACCAGCUAUACUCCCACUGCCAGGGACAGCAUAAAUGAGGAAGAGAUGAUGCCAAGAAAAUCUCUGCAUAACAAGAAAUUAAGUGCUGCACAGGCAGAGAGAGAGUGAGUUUAAACAAUAGAUAUUUUCCAUGUGGACCUGCUAAGCCAAAAUAUUCAAAAUCCACAUUCUUUAGAAGAAGAAGAAAUAGUCAGCAGAGCCCACAGAAAAAGGCACAAAUUAAUCAGAACUCACCGAUUCCACGAAAGGGCUAUCAAAGCUUCAUCAGAGCACUCAGAGUCUAUGAGGUGCAUCUUGUUUUAUUCAUUGUGGCAAUGCCCUGAACAGAUCCAAGUGCAAAGUCAUUCAUUAUUGUCAGUUUGUGUUUCUUUUUUCUGCCUAGUUGAGUGUGCUUAUGCAUUAGAAAAUAAGAGGAAGUGCAAAAUUUUGGAGGUCUAAAAUAAAACUACAUAAACAAGAAGAUGCUGGCCAAUUUACUGUGAGUGUGAGUGUGUGUGAUUCCUGGUGUUCACGGGCAAGCGUGUCAGUGGCACACAGGUAGAAGAGUGAAAUAGUGAAGUAAUAAGAGAAAGGUGCUGUAGGUUCUGCCCACAGCAGAUAGAGAAUGGACACUGGGUAAAGAGUUAUAGCUAUCC
Molecule: long non-coding RNA, 3829 nt
Organism: Lates calcarifer (barramundi perch)
Lineage: Eukaryota; Metazoa; Chordata; Actinopteri; Centropomidae
Exons: 3
Source: RefSeq, a predicted model, not a curated record